GACGAACGCUGGCGGCGUGCUUAACACAUGCAAGUCGAACGGAAAGGCCCUGCUUUUGUGGGGUGCUCGAGUGGCGAACGGGUGAGUAACACGUGAGUAACCUGCCCUUGACUUUGGGAUAACUUCAGGAAACUGGGGCUAAUACCGGAUAGGAGCUCCUGCUGCAUGGUGGGGGGUGGAAAGGUUCGGCGGUUGGGGAUGGACUCGCGGCUUAGCAGCUUGUUGGUGGGGUAGUGGCUUACCAAGGCUUUGACGGGUAGCCGGCCUGAGAGGGUGACCGGCCACAUUGGGACUGAGGUGCGGCCCAGACUCCUACGGGAGGCAGCAGUGAGGGAUAUUGCACGCUGGGCGGAAGCCUGAUGCAGCAACGCCGCGUGCGGGAUGACGGCCUUCGGGUUGUAAACCGCUUUCGCCUGUGACGAAGCGUGAGUGACGGUAAUGGGUAAAGAAGCACCGGCUAACUACGUG
Molecule: ribosomal RNA, 468 nt
Filed under: uncultured bacterium
Lineage: Bacteria
Description: partial 16S ribosomal RNA
Rfam family: Bacterial small subunit ribosomal RNA
Source: RNAcentral